GACGAACGCUGGCGGCGUGCCUAAUACAUGCAAGUAGAACGCUGAAGGAGGGGCUUGCUUGUCCGGAUGAGUUGCGAACGGGUGAGUAACGCGUAGGUAACCUGCCUGGUAGCGGGGGAUAACUAUUGGAAACGAUAGCUAAUACCGCAUAAGAGUAGAUGUCGCAUGACAUUUGCUUGAAAGGUGCAACUGCACCACUACCACAUGCAGCUGCGCUGUAUUAGCUAGUUGGUGAGGUAACGGCUCACCAAGGCAACGAUACAUAGCCGACCUGAGAGGGUGAGCGGCCACACUGGGACUGAGACACGGCCCAGACUCCUUCGGGAGGCAGCAGUAGGGAAUCGUCGGCAAUGGACGGAAGUCUGACCGAGCAACGCCGCGUGAGUGAAGAAGGGUUUCGGAUCGUAAAGCUCUGUUGUAAGAGAAGAACGAGUGUGAGAGUGGAAAGUUCACUCUGUGACGGUAUCUUACCAGAAAGGGACGGCUAACUACGUG
Molecule: ribosomal RNA, 495 nt
Filed under: uncultured bacterium
Lineage: Bacteria
Description: partial 16S ribosomal RNA
Rfam family: Bacterial small subunit ribosomal RNA
Source: RNAcentral